GACGAACGCUGGCGGCGUGCCUAAUACAUGCAAGUCGAGCGGACGGAUGGGAGCUUGCUCCCAGACCGUCAGCGGCGGACGGGUGAGUAACACGUGAGCAACCUGCCUGUAAGACUGGGAUAACUCCGGGAAACCGGGGCUAAUACCGGAUAACUCUUUCCCUCACAUGAGGGAAAGCUGAAAGAUGGCAUCUCGCUAUCACUUACAGAUGGGCCCGCGGCGCAUUAGCUAGUUGGUGAGGUAACGGCUCACCAAGGCGACGAUGCGUAGCCGACCUGAGAGGGUGAUCGGCCACACUGGGACUGAGACACGGCCCAGACUCCUACGGGAGGCAGCAGUAGGGAAUCUUCCGCAAUGGACGAAAGUCUGACGGAGCAACGCCGCGUGAGUGAUGAAGGUUUUCGGAUCGUAAAACUCUGUUGUCAGGGAAGAACAAGUACCGGAGUAACUGCCGGUACCUUGACGGUACCUGACCAGAAAGCCACGGCUAACUACGUG
RNAcentral lists this ribosomal RNA (498 nucleotides) under uncultured bacterium. RNAcentral describes it as "partial 16S ribosomal RNA". It matches the Rfam family "Bacterial small subunit ribosomal RNA", at positions 28 to 507 of the family's 1533-position model. The record is from RNAcentral.